Molecule: ribosomal RNA, 484 nt
Filed under: uncultured bacterium
Lineage: Bacteria
Description: partial 16S ribosomal RNA
Rfam family: Bacterial small subunit ribosomal RNA
Source: RNAcentral
AUUGAACGCUGGCGGCAGGCCUAACACAUGCAAGUCGAGCGGAUGAAGGGAGCUUGCUCCUGGAUUCAGCGGCGGACAGGUGAGUAAUGCCUAGGAAUCUGCCUGGUAGUGGGGGAUAACGUCCGGAAACGGGCGCUAAUACCGCAUACGUCCUGAGGGAGAAAGUGGGGGAUCUUCGGACCUCACGCUAUCAGAUGAGCCUAGGUCGGAUUAGCUAGUUGGUGGGGUAAAGGCCUACCAAGGCGACGAUCCGUAACUGGUCUGAGAGGAUGAUCAGUCACACUGGAACUGAGACACGGUCCAGACUCCUACAGGAGGCAGCAGUGGGGAAUAUUGGACAAUGGGCGAAAGCCUGAUCCAGCCAUGCCGCGUGUGUGAAGAAGGUCUUCGGAUUGUAAAGCACUUUAAGUUGGGAGGAAGGGCAGUAAGUUAAUACCUUGCUGUUUUGACGUUACCAACAGAAUAAGCACCGGCUAACUUCGUG